AAUGGCAAUUACAAUGGGAAGCAAGGCUGUAAGGCGGAGCGAAUCCGGAAAGAAUGCCUCAGUUCGGAUUGUUCUCUGCAACUCGGGAACAUGAAG
This 96-nucleotide non-coding RNA is filed under the name Gossypium arboreum. Its description in RNAcentral is "Bacterial small subunit ribosomal RNA". It matches the Rfam family "Bacterial small subunit ribosomal RNA", at positions 1229 to 1325 of the family's 1533-position model. Lineage: Eukaryota; Viridiplantae; Streptophyta; Magnoliopsida; Malvales; Malvaceae. The record is from Rfam by way of RNAcentral.